Long non-coding RNA from Cyprinus carpio (common carp), 1257 nucleotides. RefSeq lists it as uncharacterized. The transcript has 3 exons. The record is from RefSeq and is a predicted model, not a curated record. NCBI's taxonomy places the organism in Eukaryota, Metazoa, Chordata, Actinopteri, Cypriniformes, Cyprinidae.
CGUUAUAAAAUCUGUGAAAUAUAGUUUAUAGUUCUUCUGGAGAAAAAAAAAAAAGUCUGUAUGUACAUGUAAGCAAUUUCAGAUCUAUCACCACCAAUUAGCUAAUUCAGUUGAUUAUUCUUCCAGAUGUCCAGACUGAUUUUCGUUGCUCUGGUUGUGACGUGGAUGUGCUGGCUUUUUAUAUGCAUGCAAUGCUGGACUUCUUGAAAGAGCAAAGCAAGUGUACAGGGACACAAAGGCUAAAGUUCUAAAUGUUGGGGGCACAAGUGGCUGGGUUUGCUGGCAUGUACUAUAAGGAACAUAUCAAACCUGUAACUGACUCUUACAUGGAGCGGGCUAAAGACCGUGCAAGUGCCCAGUGGGAGAGAGUGAAAAGCAGAGUGCCCACCUUCAGAUCAACCCAAGAUCAAGACCAAUCAAACCUCAUAGAAAUUUUUAAGAUAUAGACAUUGUGGAAUUAAUACACCAAAUCAUACCUUCAGUGUAGUCAUGCCAUUGUAAUAAUGCACAACUAAACACAAAGUGCAAUUACACUAUGCUAAAAUGUACAUGAAGAUUAUAAAUUAAUAGUACAAUUAUUUUUCUGUAUGUUUCCUUUUAACACUAAAUUAACAAACAUGGAUUAUGUUACAAAAAAAAGGGAUUGUUGAAUCUUAGCAUGAGAAAUGCAUUGAUGAAGUAAAUAGGAAAAAAAAGUUAAAGAAGAAGACAAAAGACAACAAAAAAAAAGAUGGAAAAUGAUUGGAAGCGAUAAAUAUUUGACCAACAAUUUAAUGUAUUUAAGAUUAUGAAAAAGGAAGAAAAAAGGUCCACAGGUUGUAGAUUAGACAUGUUAUCUUACAAAGGGGAAUGUUUACUAGGGUCUGCUUCUGUCUAUUUGGCAUGUGGAAAGUUUUUACAACCUUUGGACAGCCUUUGCUUAACCCCCAUUAGUUUAUGUACAUUAAAGUAAGGAAUAUUGAUUCUGGCACUCAAAAAUGAAACGGCUGUCUGAGCACAAUCAGUAAAUUUAGUGCUGAAUAGGUUAAAAAAUGUUAUAUGUUUAUUUGAAUGUUUUCUAUACUUCUGUGUAUAGAACAAACACAGAUAUUAACCGUAAUUAACUGUAAGCCAGAUAAAUAUUGCUUCUGAAUAAUAUGUACUGUGUAGAUAUAGUUAAUAAAAAGGUACAUAGUUUCCAUAUUAUAUUUGAAUAAUAUUUUUUGGCUUCAGUAUCGUAACAAUAUAAAAGCCAAUUAUAUAGCAUUGCAUAAUAUC